AAGAUGGCGGAAUUGUAACCUCUAAAUUUUUUUGUAGCAAAUACCUAAGUAGUAGUUACAUUCUGUGGUAGUACUAUCUCAGUAAUCUGCAUUGAUGAAAACUACAUUACGACACGUUCAAAACACUACAAAUCCUAUUACGUGGCUUAUUCAGACAAAGAGUAGCGCUUCGAAAGUGUAAUCGAUUCGAGCGCACAACCGUCCAGCAGAAAAGGUGAUUCAGUAAUAAAAAAAGGAAA
Molecule: long non-coding RNA, 239 nt
Organism: Ostrinia nubilalis (European corn borer)
Lineage: Eukaryota; Metazoa; Arthropoda; Insecta; Lepidoptera; Crambidae
Exons: 2
Source: RefSeq, a predicted model, not a curated record